This 464-nucleotide ribosomal RNA is filed under the name uncultured bacterium. RNAcentral's name for it is "partial 16S ribosomal RNA". It matches the Rfam family "Bacterial small subunit ribosomal RNA", at positions 339 to 795 of the family's 1533-position model. The record is from RNAcentral.
CUACGGGACGCAGCAGUGGGGAAUAUUGCACAAUGGGCGCAAGCCUGAUGCAGCCAUGCCGCGUGUAUGAAGAAGGCCUUCGGGUUGUAAAGUACUUUCAGCGGGGAGGAAGGGAGUAAAGUUAAUACCUUUGCUCAUUGACGUUACCCGCAGAAGAAGCACCGGCUAACUCCGUGCCAGCAGCCGCGGUAAUACGGAGGGUGCAAGCGUUAAUCGGAAUUACUGGGCGUAAAGCGCACGCAGGCGGUUUGCUAAGUCAGAUGUGAAAUCCCCGGGCUCAACCUGGGAACUGCAUCUGAUACUGGCAAGCUUGAGUCUCGUAGAGGGGGGUAGAAUUCCAGGUGUAGCGGUGAAAUGCGUAGAGAUCUGAAGGAAUACCGGUGGCGAAGGCGGCCCCCUGGACGAAGACUGACGCUCAGGUGCGAAAGCGUGGGGAGCAAACAGGAUUAGAUACCCCAGUAGUC